UUUGGAAUAUUAGGACAAUGGGUGAGAGCCUGAUCCAGCCAUCCCGCGUGAAGGACGACGGCCCUAUGGGUUGUAAACUUCUUUUGUAUAGGGAUAAACCUUUCCACGUGUGGAAAGCUGAAGGUACUAUACGAAUAAGCACCGGCUAACUCCGUGCCAGCAGCCGCGGUAAUUAAAAA
RNAcentral lists this ribosomal RNA (179 nucleotides) under uncultured bacterium. Its description in RNAcentral is "partial 16S ribosomal RNA". It matches the Rfam family "Bacterial small subunit ribosomal RNA", at positions 355 to 530 of the family's 1533-position model. The record is from RNAcentral.